RNAcentral lists this transfer RNA (67 nucleotides) under Formica rufa. Its description in RNAcentral is "tRNA-Ile". The record is from RNAcentral. Lineage: Eukaryota; Metazoa; Arthropoda; Insecta; Hymenoptera; Formicidae.
AAUGAUAUGCCUGAAAAAGGAUUAUUUUGAUAGAAUAAAUUAUAUAUUUUUUUAAAUAUUUUCAUUA